UACGAAGGGGGCUAGCGUUGCUCGGAAUUACUGGGCGUAAAGGGCGCGUAGGCGGACAGUUUAGUCAGAGGUGAAAGCCCAGGGCUCAACCUUGGAAUUGCCUUUGAUACUGGCUGUCUUGAGUUCGGGAGAGGUGAGUGGAAUGCCGAGUGUAGAGGUGAAAUUCGUAGAUAUUCGGCGGAACACCAGUGGCGAAGGCGACUCACUGGCCCGAUACUGACGCUAAGGCGCGAAAGCGUGGGGAGCAAACAGG
RNAcentral lists this ribosomal RNA (253 nucleotides) under uncultured bacterium. RNAcentral's name for it is "partial 16S ribosomal RNA". It matches the Rfam family "Bacterial small subunit ribosomal RNA", at positions 524 to 776 of the family's 1533-position model. The record is from RNAcentral.